GACGAACGCUGGCGGCGUGCUUAACACAUGCAAGUCGAACGGAAAGGCCCUGCUUUUGUGGGGUGCUCGAGUGGCGAACGGGUGAGUAACACGUGAGUAACCUGCCCUUGACUUUGGGAUAACUUCAGGAAACUGGGGCUAAUACCGGAUAGGAGCUCCUGCUGCAUGGUGGGGGUUGGAAAGUUUCGGCGGUUGGGGAUGGACUCGCGGCUUAUCAGCUUGUUGGUGGGGUAGUGGCUUACCAAGGCUUUGACGGGUAGCCGGCCUGAGAGGGUGACCGGCCACAUUGGGACUGAGAUACGGCCCAGAGUCCUACGGGAGGCAGCAGUGGGGAAUAUUGCACAAUGGGCGGAAGCCGGAUGCAGCAACGCCGCGUGCGGGAUGACGGCCUUCGGGUUGUAAACCGCUUUCGCCUGUGACGAAGCGUGAGUGACGGUAAUGGGUAAAGAGGCACCGGCUAACUACGUG
This 468-nucleotide ribosomal RNA is filed under the name uncultured bacterium. RNAcentral's name for it is "partial 16S ribosomal RNA". It matches the Rfam family "Bacterial small subunit ribosomal RNA", at positions 28 to 507 of the family's 1533-position model. The record is from RNAcentral.